CCCCACUGAAGAGCAUAACUGUGUUCGUAAGCUCUUCUUAGAGGGACUGACUACGUUUAGUGGUCGGAAGUUUGAGGCAAUAACAGGUCUGUGAUGCCCUUAGAUGUUCUGGGCUGCACGCGCGCUUCACUGACAGAGGCAGCGAGUAUACAACCUUGACCGGAAGGUCUGGGCAAUCUUUUUAAACUCUGUCGUGCUGGGGAUAGAGCAUUGCAAUUAUUGCUCUUCAACGAGGAAUUCCUAGUAAGCGCAUGUCAUCAGCAUGCGUUGAUUACGUCCCUGCCCUUUGUACACACCGCCCGUCGCUACUACCAUUGGAAUGGCUAA
RNAcentral lists this ribosomal RNA (327 nucleotides) under fungal sp. RNAcentral describes it as "SSU rRNA". It matches the Rfam family "Eukaryotic small subunit ribosomal RNA", at positions 1374 to 1700 of the family's 1831-position model. The record is from RNAcentral. Lineage: Eukaryota; Fungi.